UGGUCUAGCCCAUGGUGCCAGCACCAUGCUCUUCUAUUCCUUUUUCAAGUCCCUUGUGGGCAAGGAUGUGGUUGUGGAACUCAAGAAUGACCUGAGCAUCUGUGGAACCCUCCAUUCUGUGGAUCAGUAUCUCAACAUCAAACUAACUGACAUCAGUGUCACAGACCCUGAAAAAUAUCCUCACAUGUUAUCAGUGAAGAACUGCUUCCUCUGGGGUUCAGUGGUCCACUACAUGCAGUUGCCAGCAGACAAGGUUGACACACAGUUGCUGCAGGAUGCAGCAAGGAAGGAAGCUCUGAGCAGAAACAGUGAUUACUCCUCUUCCUCUACCUCCUCUUUCAUUGAUGACCAGUAACCUCAAGUCCCAGCACAGGCGACCCCUCCUCCCAAU
RNA transcript from Carlito syrichta (Philippine tarsier), 391 nucleotides. Lineage: Eukaryota; Metazoa; Chordata; Mammalia; Primates; Tarsiidae. The record is from RefSeq and is a predicted model, not a curated record.